UCCUUGUGUCAUUGUGUUUGUGUGUGUCUAGAGUUGUACAUGAGGCUGCAGCAGUUGAACCAGUGUGUAUUAUCCUCACACCGGCGCCUCAUGGAGCUGCAGACGUCACUGAAUACCAGCACAGACAAGGUAACACACACUCACAAGCACACAUGUACACAUUCAAGUAGACAAUUGUGUGUUAAAUGCGUGUGUGUGUGUGUGUGUGUGUGUGUGUGUGUGUGUGUGUGAUCGUCAUCAGUCAAUGCAGAGGGAAGAGGACUUUCAGAGGUUCAGCACCACCAGACCUACCCUCACCCGGAGAAAGGCAGACAUGGGCAGCCAUAUGGAGCAGGGGGUGGAGCAGAGGGCGGAGUUGUGGGCAGAACUGACUGAGGAGUUCCAGAAGCAGCAGGAGCUGAGGGAGGAGCAGCACAGGGAGGAGGUGGAGUAUGUGAGAACCUACUACAGGGAACAGGCCAGGGAGGUGGAGCAGCGCUACACCGCAGAAAUCAGCCUACUACAGGACAGGCUGCAGCAGCUCAGCAGAGUGCACACCCUCCACAGCACGUCGAGCGCUUCCCUGCCUACCCUGGAGCAGAA
Electrophorus electricus (electric eel) is the source of this 582-nucleotide long non-coding RNA. NCBI's taxonomy places the organism in Eukaryota, Metazoa, Chordata, Actinopteri, Gymnotiformes, Gymnotidae. The record is from Ensembl.